CUUUUAUUCUUCUUUUUCUUUUUAUUGUUUUGUUCUCUUUAGAUUGUGAAAAGACUGGCAGGGAAACAAAUGCCACCAGCAAGGAAAGUCUCACUUGGCCUUGCCAGGAGUCGCAGAAAUCAGUCUCUAAUAAGGAGGCUGGCUGCUGGGUUACCACCUUAGCAGAUGGGCCGAAUUAGUUCACUCCUGAGGAAAGGAGCAGGCAGCAGCAGGUGACUCUCACUACCACAGCCCCACUCAUUCUUGCAGCAUUUCUUCCAAGCCUCCCAGUGGAUGUCUGGACCCAUGAACAGUAGGUUUGAGACUGUGUUCCUUCAUGUAUGAAUUAAGGACAGUAAGAGAUUAGCUUGAAAAAUAGUAAUGAUGUAAAAGCAUAAUGACAUACGCCUUUGAAAUCUAUGUGAGUAUGGCCCUUCUCUUUCAAAACAUCUCCCUAUACUUGUAUCUUUUCUGUCAAAAGAAAAAAAAAUCGAGGAUUCUUCUUGGCAUGUCUGAACUGGCAGCAUUACUAUUCUUGAGCCUUGCAGGCAUUAUUAGGUGAAAUCAAUGUCAUGUUCGUUAACCCGAUAACUGAAUAUCACCUAGUAAUCACUGGGAAGGUAGUACAUACAGAUGUUGCACACAGACAGCAUGGAGGAUAGUACAUGCAGAUGAUACACACAGACAGCAUGGGGCAGUGGUACAUACAGAUGACACAUACAGAGAAUAUGGGAGGCUAGUGCAUGCAGAAGGUACACACAGCAUAGGAGGGUGGUAUAUACAGAGAGUACACACAGACAACAUGGGAGGGUGGUACAUACAGAUGGGGCACACAGAUAGCUUGUAUAUGUCAGGAAAAGGAACAGAUAACACCUUGUGAAAUAAAUUGAAAGCUUAUGACACUACAGGGUGUCAUAAUUCAUAAGAUUUAAAAUUAAAAAUCAUUAAUCAUCCAUUGCUGAUCGUUCCCAUUGAAUAUUUCAGCCUAGAGUUUGAGCGUGUUUGUGUGGUGCGUUUAUAUGUAUGCCAAAGUGUGUCAUGGCAGGCAUGAGUGUAUAUUUAUAUAUACAUAUUAAAUAAACAAAUAACUAGAUGUCAACGAAAAUAAAAUAUGAACAAAACGUGAGAAGAUUUUCUGCUCAGUUUUUAUUUCUAGGUAAAUUCACACAGUGCUCUCCUCCUUUAUGACAGGAUUUCUCCGUGUCCACGCAUGCCCCCUGAAUAUGUUACAAAUGUAUUGAGAUAUGGAGCCUCCUUAUUCUUUUCCCUUGUGUGCUUUACAAAUUUUUAUCUUUGAGAUGAGCUAUGGUAGAAGAACUUGGAACACACUUGUCUCUAACUGCAGCAAUACCCAGGAACCCAGAUGACUAUUAAAGACUACAUCUCCCAGGAUAACAAGGAUCAUUUCUAGACAACGUUUUCACUGCUGUUAAACUGUCUCAGAAAACAACAGAACUUCUGUGAAGCAAGCUUGGACAACUAUUAAGACUGGGAAGUAGGGUGUUCAAUUCUCCUCCUCCUCCUCCUCCUCCUCCUUUUCUUUUCUUUUCUUCUUCUUCCUCCUCCUCCUCUUCCCCCUCCUCCUCCUCCCCACCCCCAUCUUUGUCCUCCUCCUCCAGAUAAAACAUAGAAGAAUCACACAGUAACCCCAAAGAAAGUUGCUGCUUAACUACUUUGGGCAUUUCAAUAAUCAGUCAAACCCAGAAAUGUAGAAUUAAAGAGGUUCCAAUAACAAAUUUUAUUUCAAUGUUAAACUGGUUAAGGACUCAGGCCUCUUGCCCUCUGUGGAAGACCACGGUGUUGAGAAUUCCAUGUGUUCUGUGAGCUUGUUUAUAGCCCCAGAAAGAUGAAACUACUUGGAAGAAAAUACUUAGUAUUGUAGUCUCAAGGAGGCUUAGAAGAGGGUAGGGGAGAGAUUUCCAAGUACAUGCUUUCCUUUUGGAGACCAUGAAGUACCUCCCUGGUCCUCCGGUGAGGUAGUUUGGGAUAAAUCCCCAUGACAAGGCACAUAAUACUCAUAGACUCCUCCCUCUGGGUGGGAAGAGGACACACUAGAAAGGGGAGCUGUUCCGGCCAUGCCAACAAA
Molecule: long non-coding RNA, 2065 nt
Organism: Mus musculus (house mouse)
Lineage: Eukaryota; Metazoa; Chordata; Mammalia; Rodentia; Muridae
Product: predicted gene, 46553
Exons: 3
Source: RefSeq, a predicted model, not a curated record